UAAGAAUCUGGCUCAAUGAUGACAUAAAAAUAACAGCAACAUUAUAAGAAAUUGCUUGGAGGUGAUUAUAAAAUGCCUGUAGCUCAUAGGAACAUCUCAUGAUUUAUUUGUCACUGCUUGGAGGCUAAAAGAACUUAUCUAAAGCCAUUUAAAAUUGUAUUUAUAAAACUGAGAUGGAUGAGUGUUUAGGGGAGUCAUUGUGUGUAAACAUAUAGGAAUAAUUGAUCUAAUUACCCAUGAUCCGAUCACUAUAUUGGAAAAAUAUUUAUCUUGAUAAGAUCAAGUUCAUUUUCAUGUCACCCCUAAUGAUUCUAUCAGAAAUUAUAUCUCUCAAUUUCUCAUCAUUAUUAUCUUAGCCUCAAAACAUAUUUGUAUUUUUAGUCUGACUUUAACAGUCUUCUCAUUUAGAAGAUGCCAGUCAAAUAUCAUCAUCGAUAGCAACCACUGAAAAUGAUAAUGAUUAGAUUCUAAUUCUAUGCACAGUGACCACAAUGGAGAGACUGAGGAUUAUCAUCCAGCACCACAUACCAACAGAAUAACGUGUGUCACUGACAUGUGAGUAGAACUGAAACGAAGCAGCCAGUUCGUUGGUCACUGAGAGGUGAGUCAUAAUACCAGGCAGAGUUGUGAAGACAAAGAAAUAGAAGACAAGUCCAUGAUCUCCUAGAGCUUCUCUCUUGGUUUAAGAGACAAGAAAAAGUUACUUGAACACAUAUGAUGAAUGCAAAUCAUGUAAAUGAAUCCUAAAACAUGGUGGGAGCAGUCCCACCAGGAAGUGCAGGAGUGGAGAGGCCCUGACAUCACAGGGGAGCCAUGGUGGGGGCUUCAUGAAGGAGCAAUCUGAGAGGCCUGAAGGCCAGCAAGCAGCCUGAGAAGGGCAUCGCAGCUGUUGGAAGAGAAAGGGCUGGCUGGACAGAGCUCAGCUCGUGCUUGAGGAGGGAGCAAGGAGUCAAGUGUGCUGAUGUCCUGAUUUGGAAAAUACUGAGAUGGUGAGAAACAAAGCUGGCCAGCUGGUGGGGCCACAGCAUGGAGGUCCUCAAAUACUCGGAUGCAGAGUUUGAACCGAUAUUCUUAUCUGUGCUGAAUUACGACUGGUCAAAGUGUACACUACAAAAUUCUUAAUGCUUCAGCAAUCUUUACUAACCACUUUUUUUCUUCUACUUGUAAAGCCAAAGAGGGACAAGAAAGGGCUAGAGGAAUGUCUCUAGAAUCAAAGUCAAGACCUCCAGAUUCUAGUACUACCUGUGUUGCUACUUAAUUAUAUGAACUUGUGCAAAUCUUGUUAUUCAUCUGUAGUUUAACUUUGCAUUUGCAACACGAGAUGGUAAAACCGAUACAUAACUCAGUAUUUCUUUAAAAAAAAAUGGAAACAAUAAAUGCACAAAACCCAAAAGUUAGCAUUUAGGGAUAUCAAGACUACUGUUGUCAUCACUGUGAUUCUGCAAGUUCUCCAGAAAAAUUCACGUUAGGACAUAUAGAUGCAGGGCUACCUUCAGCCAUCCAUCCAUUCAACUCUGCCCCAGGCGCCCAAACUGCACGCUUUGUGGAGCUUAUAUUCUAACGGGGAAGUAUAAUUGGUUGCUAGGGCUGCCAUAGCACUGCAGACUGGGUGGUUUAAAUAACAGAAUUUUAUUUUUUACAAUUCUGGAGGCCAGAAGUUUGAGAUCAAGGUGUCAGCAGGGUUGCUUCAUCUGAGGCCUCUCUCUUGGACUUGUAGAUGGCUGUCUUCCCCUUGUGUCUUCACAUGGUCCUCCCUCUAUGAGUGUAUGUCCAUGUGCUUAUGUGUGUGCUAAUCUCUUCAUAGAAGGACACCAGUCGUAUUGGAAGAGGGGCUACACAUAUGACCUCAUUUUACCCCAAUUCCCUCUCCAAAGGACCUAUCUCCAAACACAGUCACAGUCUGAGGUACUGGGUGUGAGAUCAUAUGAAUUUUUCAGGGACACAAAUUUGGCCCAUAACAGAGAGAUAAAUAAUAAACAAGUAAACAAAUAAGGAAUAAAUGGAAUAACAUGAAGCAGACUUGUGUGAGUGGAAUUGCUAUAGAGCGAAGAAUGCAAACACCACCUGGCUUUGAAAGACAGAGUGGACUGUCCCUGCAGGAGAGCAGCAAUGGAGGUGUCGCAAGAUGAGACAAGCUCUGUGUGUUUGAGACUGAGCAUGCACCAGUUGGAAGGCUUGGUUUGGGUCCCUGCAGCUUAGGGGCACAGUGCAAAAGUGUCUGAACCACUUCUAUCAAAAGGGCCCCUGGCUAGAGCUGCUGAGGGUGUCCAUGCCUCCAGGAGAGUCUGCCUCUGGGAAGUGGCCGGCUUAGAUGGUGUCCUCAGACAGACUGGGGGUGCCUCCCAUCCAUUCCCAAGAGGAGCUCAGCACGGCAGGGCUGAAAGAAGGAAGGGCAUGGCUGCAGGUAGGUGAAAACAUAGUGAUGUGAUUUAAGGGGACUUCAGGAGAGAGAUUCCUGGAAAUAGGGGUUAGCCUUGGACAAACCCCUCAAACACACCAAAGAGUUACUUACCAUUUGUUGCUGCCUCUGGAAGCUGCUUGAUUGCACCAGCGACUGCUAAAUAACGACUUUUCCCUUUUUUCCUUUUCUUCCCCAACCCCACCUCCACCUUGGAGGGCAGGGAGGCACAGGGUGGGCGGGCAGAGAGGCAGGGAGCACAGCCUGAGGCAGGCAGGGGUUCUGGGAGUUCUGACUGUUGCGGGGGACUGAGGUUUUUACUGAUGGGAAUGAGAGAGUUACUGUGUGGGGGAGAGUAGAGCAAUUAUCUGAGUGUCAGGACGCAGAUGAGACCUGCCUGCCAGCCUGCUUUAGACGCCAGGAGGGAGGAAGCGGGGGCAGAGUGGGAUUUUAGGGGGCGGCGGGCAGGGGCAUCAGCAUCGUUUUCCACGUGUAUUUUGGGGAGUCCUGGUCUUUUGAAAUACUGGUUUUACCUUCCAAGAAAAUACUGGUUAUCUAAAUCACAGCUCCGCAAACUCUGUCAAGGGCCAGAGAGGAAAUAGUUUAGGCUUUGUUGGCCAAGGGCAGCAUCAGGGAUGUUUUGCAGGUCCUUACAGAACAAGCAAGGAAACAUAUCUGCAUGCAGUUUUCAUUGAUGAAAUUCAGAAUAUAAUGAUAGAGCACACAUUUUUGUAAUGCAGGUCUUAUGGAAGAAUGGGAUUCUUUUCUUAAGGGGAAUAUCGUUUUCUUCACUGGAGUUAAAGUUAGUGUUCCCAUCACAAAUCAACUGUAAAUGUUCAUCUGUAUCAGCCAUUCUUAGCUUGAGGGCAGAACAGAAGGAUGGGCCACUGGUUCCUUUGGGCCCACAGGCUAUAGUUUGCCUAGUUUGAUGAGCUUGGCCUAAAAAAAUAUGUUUUAUUUAACUUUAUUAAUCCAUUUGCAAAAAUGAAAUGAAUAGAAAGAGAUGGAACUGCUGGUAGAAAGUGAAUUAUAUUUGCUGAAGCCCUCUGGGGUAAUGGAUAAUCCCUAUCCUCUCAGAGAAAGAGCAAAGGAGACUUGGUUUUCUUUCUUCAAUAUGAUUUCAUGAGAAGCAUGGAACAAUUAGACAUAUCUCAUGAUACCAAAGUAAGUUUUUAUUUUGUCUUCAUCAAUCAUUUAAUAAUUGAUCUGCAUUUUUCUGUGCACCCUUUCAUAAUUAUUAAUGCCCAAGAAAGUACAAAUAUUAGUCAACCUCUUCCCAGUUUGUGGCAGGACAUGAAUGGAGUUGUCUAAAUGCCACAGUUCUGAACGUGACAAAUAUUAUCGACUUCUAGGUUACAAAUCGUGUGUGUGUGUGUGUGUGUGUGUGUGUGUGUGUUGGGGUGGAAUGAAGGGCACAGAAAAAAGAAGAAAGAAGAGGGGCAGAAUGACAGAUUAUGUGUAGUAAAAUGGGAUGGGGCAUGCUGGGACGGGAUAGCUGGAGAAGUUUAGACACAGGAUUCGCUGCAUUUGUAAAUUAUGGCUAAAAUAUUUCACAGAUCCAAUAGGAUUCCUUGACAUUUCUGUACCUCACAUACAGCAGCUUUAUAAAUAUAUACAUAAGUGAGGCUCUUAAUGUGGGAGGAAUAUAAGUGCAUUUCUCAUGAGCAAUUGC
RNAcentral lists this long non-coding RNA (4070 nucleotides) under Homo sapiens (human). RNAcentral describes it as "HSALNT0206392". The record is from RNAcentral. Lineage: Eukaryota; Metazoa; Chordata; Mammalia; Primates; Hominidae.